This 205-nucleotide long non-coding RNA is filed under the name Panax ginseng (ginseng). RNAcentral's name for it is "long non-coding RNA (PGIN_LNC014034)". Lineage: Eukaryota; Viridiplantae; Streptophyta; Magnoliopsida; Apiales; Araliaceae. The record is from RNAcentral.
AUUUAUGAAGUAUUUUUGAACUUGGAUUGUUUAAAGUACGAAUCCUUAAUAUUUGUUCUUUUGUUUCACUGAAUUCGUUUUCUUUAAAAUAUUUUUCAUCAUCCUCGGUCCUAAAUGAUGAUAUAACUGAAUAUCUUUGGCCUGUAGUGCAAAGAUGAAUGAUUUUAUGAUGAAUAUCUUUGGCCCGUAGUGCAAAGAUGAACAG